RNAcentral lists this ribosomal RNA (309 nucleotides) under Triticum aestivum (bread wheat). RNAcentral describes it as "partial small subunit ribosomal RNA". Lineage: Eukaryota; Viridiplantae; Streptophyta; Magnoliopsida; Poales; Poaceae. The record is from RNAcentral.
AUGGAAACACAUUGUGCGUACUGCCUACCUUGUUUUCUCUUCACAAAAAGGCCAAGUGGAAGGUGUGGCUCUGAUGCAUUCACGGUCAAGGGAUUUAAUAAUUGGAAGAAGGUGAAUGAUGGAAACGAAUGUGCUUUCUUAACUCACAUGGGCAAAGAUUCCAACUCCUCUCAUAACUUUUCUCAGCGGUGUCAUGAUAAUCUGAAAAAUAGUUUGACUCACAUCGACAAGGCAAUGGUGAAAGUGUGUGCAAAAAAGGUCGCAGAUGCAAGGCUAAGGCUUAAAGUUACAAUUGAUUGCAUCAAGUAA